UGAGGAAUAUUGGGCAAUGCCCGAAAGGGUGACCCAGCAACGCCGCGUGGAGGAUGAAGGUCGUAAGAUUGUAAACUCCUGUUAGAGGGGAAGAAUAGUACCGGUUGGACCGGUAUAUGACUGUACCCUCAGAGAAAGCCCCGGCUAACUACGUGCCAGCAGCCGCGGUAAUACGUAGGGGGCAAGCUUUGUCCGGAUUUACUGGGUGUAAAGGGCGCGCAGGCGGGAUAAAGAGUCAGUGGUGAAAUCCUACAGCUUAACUGUAGAACUGCCUUUGAUACUUUUAUUCUUGAGUUCGGGAGAGAGAGACGGAAUUCCAGGUGUAGUGGUGAAAUACGUAGAUAUCUGGAAGAACACCAGUUGCGAAGGCGGUCUCUUGGUCCGACACUGACGCUGAGGCGCGAAAGCGUGGGGAGCAAACA
This 422-nucleotide ribosomal RNA is filed under the name uncultured bacterium. RNAcentral describes it as "bacterial SSU rRNA". It matches the Rfam family "Bacterial small subunit ribosomal RNA", at positions 355 to 774 of the family's 1533-position model. The record is from RNAcentral.